GACGAACGCUGGCGGCAUGCCUAAUACAUGCAAGUCGAACGCUGAAGCACUCUGCUUGCAGAGUGCGGAUGAGUGGCGAACGGGUGAGUAACACGUGGGAAAUCUGCCUAUAAGAGGGGGAUAACAUUCGGAAACGGAUGCUAAUACCGCAUAUAUUCUUGGACCGCCUGGUCCUUGAAAGAAAGACGGCUUUGCUGUCGCUUAUAGAUGAUCCCGCGGCGUAUUAGUUAGUUGGUGGGGUAAAGGCCUACCAAGACAAUGAUACGUAGCCGACCUGAGAGGGUGAUCGGCCACACUGGGACUGAGACACGGCCCAGACUCCUGCGGGAGGCAGCAGUAGGGAAUCUUCCACGAUGGGCGAAAGCCUGAUGGAGCAAUGCCGCGUGAAUGAAGAAGGUCUUCGGAUCGUAAAGUUCUGUUAUUAGAGAAGAACAAGUCAAGGAGUAACUGUCUUGACUUUGACGGUACCUAACCAGAAAGUCACGGCUAACUACGUG
This 497-nucleotide ribosomal RNA is filed under the name uncultured bacterium. Its description in RNAcentral is "partial 16S ribosomal RNA". It matches the Rfam family "Bacterial small subunit ribosomal RNA", at positions 28 to 507 of the family's 1533-position model. The record is from RNAcentral.